AUUGAACGCUGGCGGCAUGCCUUACACAUGCAAGUCGAACGGCAGCGCGGGAGCAAUCCUGGCGGCGAGUGGCGAACGGGUGAGUAAUAUAUCGGAACGUGCCCAGUAGUGGGGGGAUAGCCCGGCGAAAGCCGGAUUAAUACCGCAUGAGACCUGAGGGUGAAAGCGGGGGAUCGCAAGACCUCGCGCUAUUGGAGCGGCCGAUAUCAGAUUAGCUAGUUGGUGGGGUAAAGGCCUACCAAGGCAACGAUCUGUAGUUGGUCUGAGAGGACGACCAGCCACACUGGGACUGAGACACGGCCCAGGACUCCUACGGGAGGCAGCAGUGGGGAAUUUUGGACAAUGGGCGCAAGCCUGAUCCAGCAAUGCCGCGUGCA
RNAcentral lists this ribosomal RNA (377 nucleotides) under uncultured bacterium. RNAcentral describes it as "bacterial SSU rRNA". It matches the Rfam family "Bacterial small subunit ribosomal RNA", at positions 29 to 405 of the family's 1533-position model. The record is from RNAcentral.